RNAcentral lists this ribosomal RNA (19 nucleotides) under uncultured Ascomycota. RNAcentral describes it as "partial 18S ribosomal RNA". The record is from RNAcentral. Lineage: Eukaryota; Fungi; Ascomycota.
UUCCGUAGGUGAACUGCGG